ACUUGGGACCCCGUUUCCACCCAGGACCACAGGCUCAAGAUGGCCUGGUAGAUGCAGCCGGCACGCGCCUCUCCUCCGACGGGAACAGAAGGAGCCGGAUGCGCAGAUCUCAACGGAAGGACCCAGGAGACAUGAAAAAGCAAGGAAAUGUGACGCCUUCAGAAGAAACCAGUAAUUCUCCAGCAACAGAUCCCCAUCCAAAAGAAAUUCAGGAAAGCUCAAACAGAGAAUUGAGCAGAGAAUUGACCGGACUGAUUGUAAAGAAGGUCAUCAACAUGGAAGAGUCUUUUGAACAACAACAUAAAGAAAUGAGGAAAAGAGGUGGGGAGAUAUAUGAGAUGAUUACCUGCCAGAAAGAGGUUUUAAAAUUCAACAGAAGAGUAUUUCUGGAACUGAAGAAAUCAUUGGAUGAAAUACAAAGUACACUCAAAAGCUUCAAUGAUAGACUAGAACAAAUAGAAGAAAAACUCUCAGGGCAUAAAAUCUGAAGCAUUUUUCUCACUUUAAAGAUUCAUGGGUUGUACUCUGGCCAUUAAUGUGAACAAAACCUGCUGGGUUAGUUCUUAUUCUGGGGUCUUGGGUAAUCGUUAGAGCGAAAUAAAAAUAAUUUCCCUUAGA
RNAcentral lists this long non-coding RNA (618 nucleotides) under Homo sapiens (human). RNAcentral's name for it is "lncRNA p53 regulated and ESC associated 1". The record is from RNAcentral. Lineage: Eukaryota; Metazoa; Chordata; Mammalia; Primates; Hominidae.